Molecule: transfer RNA, 104 nt
Filed under: Hypomontagnella monticulosa
Lineage: Eukaryota; Fungi; Ascomycota; Sordariomycetes; Xylariales; Hypoxylaceae
Description: tRNA-Ser
Rfam family: tRNA
About the family: Transfer RNA (tRNA) molecules are approximately 80 nucleotides in length. Their secondary structure includes four short double-helical elements and three loops (D, anti-codon, and T loops). Further hydrogen bonds mediate the characteristic L-shaped molecular structure. tRNAs have two regions of fundamental functional importance: the anti-codon, which is responsible for specific mRNA codon recognition, and the 3' end, to which the tRNAs corresponding amino acid is attached (by aminoacyl-tRNA synthetases). tRNAs cope with the degeneracy of the genetic code in two manners: having more than one tRNA (with a specific anti-codon) for a particular amino acid; and 'wobble' base-pairing, i.e. permitting non-standard base-pairing at the 3rd anti-codon position.
Source: RNAcentral
GGCGCUUUGGCGGAGUGGUUAACGCGGUGCCCUGCUAUUGUGCAACUGUAUGAUACAGGGAGGCAUUUCCUUCGGGAGCGUAGGUUCGAAUCCUGCAGGCGUCG